CCUACGGGUGGCAGCAGUGAGGAAUAGUGGUCAAUGGCCGGAAGGCUGAACCAGCCAAGCCGCGUGAGGGAGGAAGGCGCAGAGCGUCGCAGACCUCUUUUGCCGGGGGACAAAAGGCCGGACGCGUCCGGUCCUGAGGGUACCCGGAGAAAAAGCAGCGGCUAACUCCGUGACAGCAGCCGCGGUAAUACGGAGGAUGCGAGCGUUAUCCGGAUUCAUGGGGUUUCAAGGGUGCGCAGGCGGGCCUUUAAGCCGGCGGUGAACUCGCGGGGCUCAACCCCGCCGAGCCGUCGGAACUGGGGGCCUUGAGUGCGGCGGAGGCCUGCGGAAUGCGCGGUGUAGCGGUUAAAUGCAUAGCUCUCGCGCAGAACCCCGAUUGCGACGGCAGCGUGCCGUGCCGCCCCUGACGCUGAGGCACGACAGCGCGGGGAUCGAACAGGAUUAGAUCCCCUUGUAGUC
This 459-nucleotide ribosomal RNA is filed under the name uncultured bacterium. Its description in RNAcentral is "partial 16S ribosomal RNA". It matches the Rfam family "Bacterial small subunit ribosomal RNA", at positions 338 to 795 of the family's 1533-position model. The record is from RNAcentral.